RNAcentral lists this ribosomal RNA (468 nucleotides) under uncultured bacterium. RNAcentral's name for it is "partial 16S ribosomal RNA". It matches the Rfam family "Bacterial small subunit ribosomal RNA", at positions 28 to 507 of the family's 1533-position model. The record is from RNAcentral.
GACGAACGCUGGCGGCGUGCUUAACACAUGCAAGUCGAACGGAAAGGCCCUGCUUUCGUGGGGUGCUCGAGUGGCGAACGGGUGAGUAACACGUGAGUAACCUGCCCUUGACUUUGGGAUAACUUCAGGAAACUGGGGCUAAUACCGGAUAGGAGCUCCUGCUGCAUGGGGGUGGUUGGAAAGUUUCGGCGGUUGUGGAUGGACUCGCGGCUUAUCAGCUUGUUGGUGGGGUAGUGGCUUACCAAGGCUUUGACGGGUAGCCGGCCUGGGAGGGUGACCGGCCACAUUGGGACUGAGAUACGGCCCAGUCGCCUACGGGAGGCAGCAGGGGGGAAUAUUGCACAAUGGGCGGAAGCCUGAGGCAGCAACGCCGCGUGCGGGAUGACGGCCUUCGGGUGGUAAACCGCUUUCGCCUGUGACGAAGCGGGAGUGACGGUAAUGGGUAAAGAAGCACCGGCUAACUACGUG